This 422-nucleotide ribosomal RNA is filed under the name uncultured bacterium. RNAcentral describes it as "bacterial SSU rRNA". It matches the Rfam family "Bacterial small subunit ribosomal RNA", at positions 355 to 774 of the family's 1533-position model. The record is from RNAcentral.
UGAGGAAUAUUGGGCAAUGCCCGCAAGGGUGACCCAGCAACGCCGCGUGGAGGAUGAAUGUCGUAAGAUUGUAAACUCCUGUUAGAGGGGAAGAAUAGUACCGGUUGGACCGGUAUAUGACUGUACCCUCAGAGAAAGCCCCGGCUAACUACGUGCCAGCAGCCGCGGUAAUACGUAGGGGGCAAGCGUUGUCCGGAUUUACUGGGUGUAAAGGGCGCGCAGGCGGGAUAAAAAGUCAGUGGUGAAAUCCUACAGCUUAACUGUAGAACUGCCUUUGAUACUUUUAUUCUUGAGUUCGGGAGAGAGAGACUGAAUUCCAGGUGUAGUGGUGAAAUACGUAGAUAUCUGGAAGAACACCAGUUGCGAAGGCGGUCUCUUGGUCCGACACUGGCGCUGAGGCGCGAAAGCGUGGGGAGCAAACA